This is a long non-coding RNA of Globicephala melas (long-finned pilot whale), 13690 nucleotides long. RefSeq lists it as uncharacterized. Lineage: Eukaryota; Metazoa; Chordata; Mammalia; Artiodactyla; Delphinidae. The record is from RefSeq and is a predicted model, not a curated record.
GGCGCGAAGGAACAGAAGGGAACGUGGUCAGUUGGAGCCCUGUUGGGCUCCUGGGCCUAAUCCUCUGCCCUUGGAGCCUCCCUCCUGCCGUGCAAAGCCUGAGCCCUGGCCCUACAACCCACCCAGGGCCCUGCCUCUACACUCAGAGACCCCGUCCAACGCGCUGGGCCUAAACCCCACCCACACACCCUCACUCAGGGCCCUACCCCCAAACUCCGGAACUCCACAUUCCAGAGGGCCCCCUUUCCACGUGCUGCCUCUCCCCUCUGCGCAGGUCCUAAGCAGAGGCCCCGCCCCAUGCUUGAACGUCUCCCCCCUACCUGCCUAGGUCCCACCCCACCCUAAACCCCGCCCCGGCCUAAGUUCCACCCCCGCCUAAACUCCGCCCCCAUAGCCAAGGCUUUUUUUUUUUUCUCUUUUAGAUAGGGGUUCUGUUUUACCUUGUUGAUUCAUUAUUUUUCCUAAUAUAUUUUUUAUCUUUCUAAUUUUAUUUUGUUUUUUAUUCUUUGAUCUUGUACUGUGCCUUUUUUUCUUUCUUUUUUUUUUUUUUACCGCACCAUGAAGCUUGUGGGAUCUUGGUUCCCAGGCCGGAAGUCAGGCCUGAGCUCCUAUGGUGGGAGCUCUGAGUCCAAACCGCUGGACUGACAGAGAACCUCAGACCCCAGGGAAUAUCAAUUGGAGUGAGGCCUCCUGGAGGACCUCAUCUCAGCACCAAGACCUAGCUCUGUCCAACUGCCUGCAAACUCCAGUGCUGGACGUCUCAGGCCAAACAACCAGUAAGGCAGGAACAGAGCACCACCCAUCAAAAAAGAAAAAAAAAAAUGAAACAACAAAAAAAUAUGUUACAGAUGAAGGAGGAAGGUAAAAACCUACAAGACCAAAUAAAUGGAGAUGAAAUAGGCAACCUACCUGAAAACGAAUUCAGAGUAAUGAUAAUAAAGAUGAUCCAAAAUCUCGGAAAAAGAAUGCAGAAAAUACAAAAAACAUUUAACAAGGAUCUAGAAGAACUAAAGAGCAAAUAAACAGUGAUGAACAACACAAUUACUGAAAUUAAAAAUACUCUAGAAGGAAUCAAUUGCAGAAUAACUGAAGCAGAAGAACGGAUAAGUGAGCUGGAAGAUAAAAUGGUGGAAAUAACUGCCAGGGAGCAGAAUAAAGAAAAAAGAAUGGAAAGAAUUGAGGACAGUCUCAGAGACCUCUGGGACAACAUUAAAUGCACCAACAUUCGAAUUACAGGGGUCCCAGAAGAAGAAGAGAAAAAAGAAAGGGUCUGAGAAAAUAUUUGAAGAGAUUAUAGUCGAAAACUUCCCUAACAUGGGAAAGGAAAUAGUCAAUCAAGUCCAAGAAGCACAGAGCAUCUCAUACAGGAUAAACCCAAAGAGAAACACGCCAAGACACAUAUUAAUCAAACUAUCAAAAAUUAAAUACAAAGAAAAAAUCUUAAAAGCAGCAAGAACAACAGCAAAGCAACAAAUAACAUACAAGGGAAUCCCUAUAAUGUUAAUGGAUGAUUUUUCAGCAGAAACUCUGCAAGCCAGAAGGGAGUGGUGGGACAUAUUUAAAGUGAUGAAAAGGAAAAACCUACAACCAAGAUUACCCAGCAAGGAUCUCAUUCAGAUUCGAUGGAGAAAUUAAAACCUUUACAGAUAAGCAAAAGUUAAGAGAAUUCAGCAUCACCAAAGCAGCUUUACAACAAAUGCUAAAGGAACUUCUCUAGGCAGGAAACACAAGACAAGGAAAAGACCUACAAAAACAAACCCAAAACAAUUAAGAAAAUGGUAACAGGAACAUACAUAUCGAUAAUUACCUUAAAUGUAACUGGAUUAAAUGCUCCAACCAAAAGACAUAGACUGGCUUAAUGGAUACAAAAACAAGAUCUGUACAUAUGCUGUCUACAAGAGACCCACUUCAGACCUAGGGACACAUACAGACUGGAAGUGAGGGGAUGGAAAAAGAUACUCCAUGCAAAUGGAAAUCAAAGGAAAGCUGGAGUAGCAAUUCUCAUAUCAGAAAAUAUAAACUUUAAAGACUAUUACAAGAGACAAAGAAGGAUACUACAUAAUGAUCAAGGGAUCAACCCAAGAAGAAGAUAUAACAAUUGUAAAUAUUUAUGCACCCAGCCUAGGAGCACCUCAAUACAUAAGGCAAAUGCUAACAGCCAUAAAAGGGGAAAUCGACAGUAACACAAUCAUAGUAGGGGACUUUCUAACACCCCACUUUCACCAAUGGACAGAUCAUCCAAAAUGAAAAUAAAUAAGUAAACACAAGCUUUAAAUGACACAUUAAACAAGAUGGACUUAAUCUAUAUUUAUAGGACAUUAUAUCCAAAAACAACAGAAUACACUUUCUUCUCAAGUGCUCAUGGAACAUUCUCCAGGAUAGAUCAUAUCUUGGGUCACAAAUCAAGCCUUGGUAAAUUUAAGAAAAUGGAAAUCGUAUCAAGUAUCUUUUCCAACCACAACACUAUGAGACUAGAUACCAAUUACAAGAAAAAAACUGUACAAAAUACAAACACAUGGAGGAUAAACAAUACACUACUAAAUAACCAAGAGAUCACUGAAGAAAUCAAAAAAUACCUAGAAAAAAUGACAAUGAAAACACGAUGACCCAAAACCUAUGGGAUGCAGCAAAAAAGUUCUAAGAGAGAAGUUUAUAGCAAUACAAUCCUACCUCAAGAAACAAGAAAAAUCUCAAACAACCUAACCUUACACCUAAAGCAAUUAGAGAAAGAAGAAUGAAAAAACCCCAAAGUUAACAGAAGGAAAGAAAUCAUAAAUAUCAGAUCAGAAAUAAAUGAAAAAGAAAUGAAGGAAACAAUAGCAAAGAUCAAUAAAACUAAAAGGUGGUUCUUUGAGAAGAUAAACAAAAUUGAUAAACCAUUAGCCAGACUCAUCAAGAAAAAAAGGGAGAAGACUCAAAUCAACAGAAUUAGAAAUGAAAAAGGAGAAGUAACAACUGACACUGCAGAAAUACAAAGGAUCAUGAGAGAUUACUACAAGCAACUAUACGCCAAUAAAAUGGACAGCCUGGAAGAAAUGGACAAAUUCUUAGGAAAGCACAACCUUCUGAGACUGAACCAGGAAGAAAGAGGAAAUAUAAACAAACCAAUCACAAGCACUGAAAUUGAAACUGUGAUGAAAAAUCUUCCAACAAACAGAAGUCCAGGACUAGAUGGCUUCACAGGUGAAUUCUGUCAAACAUUUAGAGGCGAGCUAACACCUAUCCUUCUCAAACUCUUCCAAAAUAUAGCAGAGGGAAGAACACUCCCAAACUCAUUCCACGAGGCCACCAUCACCCUGAUACCAAAACCAGACAAAGAUGUCACAAAAAAAGAAAACUACAGGCCAAUAUCUCUGAUGAAUAUAGAUGCAAAAAUCCUCAACAAAAUACUAGCAAACAGAAUCCAACAGCACAUGAAAAGGAUCAUAUACUAUGAUUAAGUGGGGUUUAUCCCAGGAAUGCAAAGAUUCUUCAAUAUAUGCAAAUCAAUCAAUGUGAUACACCAUAUUAACACAUUGAAGGAGAAAAACCAUAUGAUCAUCUCAAUAGAUGCAGAAAAAGCUUUUGGCAAAAUUCAACACCCAUUUAUGAUAAAAACUCUCCAGAAAGUAGGUAUAGAGGGAACCCACCUCAAGAUAAUAAAGGCCACAUAUGACAAACCCACAGCCAACAUCGUUCUCAAUGGUGAAAAACUGAACCAUUUCCUCUAAGAUCAGCAACAAGACAAGGUUGCCCACUGUCACCGCUGUUAUUCAACAUAGUUUUGGAAGUUUUAGCCACAGCAAUUAGAGAAGACAAAAAUAAAAGGAAUCCAAAUUGGAAAAGAAGUAAAACUAUCACUGUUUGCAGAUGACAUGAUACUAUACAUAGAGAAUCCUAAAGAUGCUACCAGAAAACUACUAGAACUAAUCAAUGAAUUUUGUAGAGUAGCAGGAUACAAAGUUAAUGCACAGAAAUCUCUUGCAUUCCUAUACACUAAUGAUGAAAAAUCUGAAAGCGAAAUUAAGGAAACAUUCCCAUUUGCCAUUGCAACAAAAAGAAUAAAAUACCUAGGAAUAAACCUACCUAAUGAGACAAAAGACCUGUAUGUAGAAAACAAUAAGAAACUGAUGAAAGAAAUUAAAGAUCAUACAAACAGACGGAGAGAUAUACCAUGUUCUUGGAUUGGAAGAAUCAACAUUGUGAAAAUGACUAUACUACCCAAAGCAAUCUACAGAUUCAGUGCAAUCCCUAUCAAACUACCAAUGGCAUUUUUCACAGAAUUAGAACAAAAAAUUUCGCAAUUUGUAUGGAAACACAAAAGACCUCGAAUAGCCAAAACAAUCUUGAGAAAGAAAAACGGAGCUGGAGGAGUCAGACUCCCGUACUUCAGACUAUAUUACAAAGAUACAGUAAUCAAGACAGUAUGGUACUGUGGUGCUGGGAAAACUGUACAGCUACAUGUAAAAGAAUGAAAUUAGAACACUUCCUAACACCAUACACAAAAAUAAACUCAAAAUGGGUUAAAGACCUAAGUGUAAGGCCAGACACUAUAAAACUCUUAGAGGAAAAUAUAGGCAGAACACUUUAUGACAUAAAUCACAGCAAGAUCCUUUUUGACCCACCUCCUAGAGUAAUGGAAAUAAAAACAAAAAUAAACAAAUGGGACCUACUGAAACUUAAAAGCCUUUGCACAGUAAAGGAAACCAUAAAAAAAACGAAAAGACAACCCUCAGAAUGGGAGAAAAUAUUUGCAAAUGAAGCAACUGACAAAGGAUUAAUCUCCAAAAUAUACAAGCAGCACAUGCAGCUCAAUAUAAAGAAAAAAAAAAAACCAAUCCAAAAAUAGGCAGAAGACCUAAAUAGACAUUUCUCCAAAGAAGAUAUACAGAUUGUCAACAAACACAUGAAAAGAUGCUCAAUAUCACUAAUCAUUAGAGAAAUGCAAAUCAAAACUACAACGAGGUAUCACCUCACACUGGUCAGAAUGGCCAUCAUCAAAAAAUCUACAAACAAUAAAUGCUGGAGAGGGUGUGGAGAAAAGGGAACCCUCUUGCACUGUUGGUGGGAAUGUAAAUUGAUACAGCCACUGUGGAGAACAGUAUGGAGGUUCCUUAAAAAACUAAAAAUAGAACUACCAUAUCACCCACUACUGGGCAUAUACCCUGAGAAAACCAUAAUUCAGAAAGAGUGAUGUACCACAAUGUUCAUUGCAGCACUAUUUACAAUAGCCAGGACAUGGAAGCAACCUAAGCAUCCAUCGACAGAUGAAUGGGUAAAGAAGAUGUGGCACAUUUAUACAAUGGAAUAUUAGCCAUAAAAAGAAACGAAAUUGAGUUAUUUUUAGUGAGGUGGAUGGACCUAGAGUCUGCAAGCAGAGUGAAGUAAGUCAGAAAGAGAAAAACAAAUACCAUAUGCUAACACAUAUAUAUGGAAUCUAAAAAAAAAAAAAAAAAAAAAAAAGGUUCUGAUGAACCUAGGGGCAGGACAGGAAUAAAGACGCAGACAUAGAGAAUGGACCUGAGGACACGGGGAGGGGGAAGGGUAAGCUGGGAUGAAGUGAGAGAGUAACAUUGACAUAUAUACACUACCAAAUGUAAAAUAGAUAGCUAGUGGGAAGCAGCUGCAUAGCACAGGGAGAGGUGCUUUGCGACCACCUAGAGGGGUGAGAUAGGGAAGGUGGGAGGGAGGCGUAAGAGGGAGAGGAUAUGGGGAUAUAUGUAUACAUACAGCUGAUUCACCUUGUCAUACAGCAGAAACACAGCAUUGUAAAGCAAUUAUACUCAAAGAUGUUUUAAAAAAUGUCAUAUAUAUAUAUUACAGCCAUGACCGUUAGCCAAGUAGCUACAAAUAAAACAUUUUUGGGAAAAAAAAAUUUUUGGAACCAACCCACCUUAGAGUGUGUGUAAAAAUAUGUGGCAGUUUAGACUUAAUUCCAGGAACAUCUCUGUAUUAUAGCUGUAGUGCCUAAAGCUGUUAGCUCUGGUAUUUGGAGAGCCUUUAAAAGUCUAUACAUGUCUUUGUCAGUCUGUAACUUACCUCCUCUGGGCUUGUGAAAGUGUGAAGGCUGCAUACAUAAUGCAAAACUCAGUCCCUUCAAUCCCUCUCCCAGCAGCAAAUUCACUCUCCAAGAUGCUCAUGACUCAUUUUCCUUUCUCUUCCCUGCUCAGAGUUCUGAUACAAACAGGAAGCACAGGGGAACAGAUAAUAAAAUAAGAAAUCCAACUGUGGUUCCAUAAUACUUAUGAGAGCCUACAGAGUGCUAGAAACCUAGCUCAGGGCUUCUCAACGUGGCUGCCCACUGCUUGCACCGGGGCAGCUUUAACUAUGACUGAAGCCAGGAUCCCACUCAGAGAUGCUGAUGUAAUUGGUGUGGGGUGUGGCCCAGCCUCAGGAAUUCAGAGAGCUCCUCAAGUAUUUCUAGUGUGUGGCCAGGGUUGGGGACCUCUGCUCUAGACACACAGUGGUGGUCGAGAUAGACCCGGGGUUGGAAAUGGUCACAAGCUGUUAGCUAGGAUGUGCCCCAUCCAAACUUUGUACUUGCUCAGACGUUUCAAACAGGCAGCUUCGCAGCCAAAAUAAAUAAAUAAUUUUAAAAGUUAUUUUUUUAAAAAAAGGGACUUCCCUGAUGGCACAGUGGUUAAGAAUCUGCCUGCCAAUGCAGGGGACACGGGUUCGAGCACUGGUCCGGGAAGAUCCCACAUGCCACGGAGCAACUAAGCCCAUGUGCCACAACUACUGAAGCCGCGCACCAUGUGUUGCUCUGCAACAAGAGAAGCCACUGCAAUGAGAAGCCCGCGCACCGCAACGAAGAGUAGCCCCCACUCGCCACAGCUAGAGAAAGCAGCAGCAAAGACCCAAUGCAGUCGAAAAUAAUUUUUUAAAAAAGUUAUAAAAAAACAGCAGCUUGAGAGGAGGUUUGAAAUAGGACAGCCUGUUCUGUCAGGUCCCAGAAUGUAUAUUUAUUAAGUGCCAUUAAAAGGGACCUGAAGAGAGACUUCCCUGGUGGUGCAGUGGUUGAGUCUGCCUGCCGAUGCAGGGGACACGGGUUCGUGCCCCGGUCUGGGAAGAUACCACAUGCUGCGGAGCGGCUAGGCCCAUGAGCCAUGGCCGCUGAGCCUGCGCAUCCGGAGCCUGUGCUCCACAAUGGGAGAGGCCACAACAGUGAGAGGCCCGCGUACCACAAAAAAAGAAAAGGACCUGAACAAAACUGGAUAUUCUUGUAGGCAUAAGGGAGAAAACUGAAAUAUUCUUGGAACCAAAUCUAUCUCAUGAGGAAAAAUAACAAUGUAUUCAGUAGCACAUAGGUAAUGGUUUCUCCUAGGGGAUGAGAUUAAAAGUCACUGAAGGGUGAGAAAAUGCAUAAUUGAGAAGAUGGAGAAUGGCCUGAAUUUUCUCCAGGGGACUCUGUGUAAUGUGCCUUUCCCCCUCCAAAUACCUAGAACCAUUGCCCUGUGACUUAUGUAUUUCAAUGCUGGACUGUCACAUAUUAGACUUACAAAGGUAUUUGUCUGUGAAUUGAACAAGACUUCCAGGAGGUGAAGACUGAUUCACAAGGGUGACCCUUGCUCCCUGCAACAGAGUGAGACCUCUUUAAUCUCUUGGGCUCCAACCUAGUUUUAGACAUGAGGACAAGAUUACAAUAUCAAAGGAAAGAUGAGCGAAUUCUUGGUUAAUGUGGUGAGUCUAGCUUGGUGAAUAACUGAUGUCAACUACUGGGAAUAAAGGACUUGAAGAUGAAAUGUCGCUGAAAUUUGUGUGACUCUAACCAUUGGAUGGUCAGAUGCCCCAGUGUGGCAUUUGUUCACUAGAUACUUGCCAUAUAUAAAAAUGGCACCUCCUUUAUUCAUGUGUUCAUUUAGUGAGUGUCUACUGCACAUCUUUGGUGCCUCCAGGAUUUGGCCUUAGCUGCUGGGGAUGCAGUGAGAAGUCAGAGAGACCAGGACCCUGCCCUCCCAAAGCCCACAGUUUGAUGAGGGAGGCAGACAAGGCAACAGUUAAACACAGUGUUAAUUGUUAGGAUAGGGUGAUAACAGGUGCCACCAGAGCCCCGGGGAGAGGCCAGCCCCUGACUCAGACUUGGUGGCUAAGGAGGGCUUCCUGGAAGAAGUGAUAUCCAAGCUGAUGGGUAACAGGUUAGAUGAAGGUGGGAGGGAGGGCACAUGCAAAGGCCCAGAGUUAAGAGCAAGCACAGCUCAUCAGGGAACUAAAAUGCUACAGAGCUGGAACACAGGGUGUGCGUAAGGGUGGUGGGUACAGUGCGAGAUGGCUUAGUGAGGUCUGCCUGGUAAGGAGCUUUGGGGUUUAUUCUGAGGGCAGUGGUGGGGGACACUAAAGGGUUUCAAGCAGAGGAGUGACACGCCCAGAGUUGUGUUUUAGGAUGCAAGUUCUGGUUUAUCCUGGAAUCUCCCUAAGCAUCUGUCAUAUGCCUCAAGUAAUAGAUGUUCAGUACACGUUGCUCAGAUAAACAGCCCAGAUGGGAUGGGAACACUGAAACCUACUUCCAAGGAAUCUCCCAUCCAGCUGUAAAAGACAGACUGGCACCUGGCACCACAAGGCAGGAUGCCGUCAGCCCCAGAAGGGUGCUAUUUACCAGGCUCAUGGGUGUUCAGACAAGGAGGAGCUUUGGGGUCGCUGAGGUGGUCAGGGAGGCUUCCUGGAGGAAGUGGGGCAGGUGCUGGCUUUGUGGGAUAAGUAGGGUUGGGGGAAGCAAAAGGGAAGGGGAAGCCUUCUCAGGCCCAGGGAGGCAGUGUAAUGGUAUGAGAAGUGCCCAGCACUUGACCUUAAAACCCCUGAGUUCAAGGCCCGCUUGGCCAUAGGCAAGUAGCAAACUCAUUUAUUGUGGUUUCUGCAUGUGGGGAAGUUUGGUGAGGGCCCCCAGCCUGCGUUGUCCUCCCUAUUCAGCCCAAAAAAUACUCACUGUAGAAUUCUGUCUUUUCUCAAGGAGUCGCUGGCUUCCUCCCCCAGGACCUACCUUCCAGCAUGGAAAAGUCAUUUUAGGAUCUGUUGUGGUAGGGCAGAGACUCAAAUACCUGGACUGGUGGGUAAGGAAAGAACUGGAUUCCACUCCUGGCAACAUCCCGAGGAGCUGGGUUCCUUAACAAUCCACUCACUUAACCUUGUUCUUCUGUUUUCUUAUCAGUAAUUUUUGAACUUAUGUUUUCUGUUUUUCUCAUCUGUAAAAUGGGUACAAUUCCUGUUCUGACAGGGUGAGUGAGAGGAUUAAAUGAAACACUUGUGAAUGGUGGCGGAUCACAACAGGAGCAUCACGGCUGUGCAGGGAGGAAAUAUGUGAACUCUGACCACUAGGUGGCAGCAGGGCUCUAGGAAUCACCUGAGAUUGGGCUGGGAGGCGCCACCUCUGCAAAUUGAAACGCCCAGGGUGCUGGGCAGGUGGUGCAAAUGAGAGGAAGGGCCAGGUGAAAGACAUUAGGGAGUGGCAGGGACUGUGGUGGACCACAGCAUACAUAUUCCAUCUAAGGAGCUUGCAGCUUCUUGGCUUCAACCAGUGUUGCCACAUCAGAAUGAGGGCCCAGUGGUGCCAGAGAUUCUGAUUUUUCAAGAGAAGCCAGAAACCAGGGUUUUGUUUUGAUUUUUGAUGUGAAAUCUGUGUGGAGAUUGUGUGGGUCACAACAGGUCCCCCUUUUUGCAUCUUCUGCCACAGAGUGUGGGUUGGCUGCCCUGGUAGAGAAUCUCCUCUGAAGAAUUAGCUUCACAUCUGUUUUCUGUGAAAUGCCGUCAUGUGUCUCCACUUCACUCACUACUUCAUUAGAUGUUAAUUUUCCUUCCUUGAAUCUCUGGGGAGAACUGUUUCGUUUUCUGCUAUUGUUACUAUUGUUGUCAUCAAACAUUUAUUCAAUCGUGGGCCAUAUUUUCUGACCACCCAUGAGGCUCUCCAUAGUACCUAUUUCACAAGGUUCUUUUGAGGAAUAAAUGAGAUACUGAUAUAAUAUCGCUUAGCCCAGCACCUGGCUCAUUAGCUCUCAAUAAAUAUUAUUAUGGGGACUUUAGAAAAGAUGGCAUGACAUUUGGAGGAACGUUUGCAGGGCCUGCCUUUCUCUCUAUAUUUGGGAUGGUGACAAGGCCUGGCUACUCCCUUAUGUAGAUGAAGCCCCCUGGUUCCGCUCCUGAGGGCCUAGUAGAGGUUGGAUACAGCCCUUCCCUCAGAGGCUGCUGUCACACCCCAAAAGCAUUCCUGGGACUUUCCCUUGUCCGGUUCCCUGGUGCUGCGUCUGGGUCAGGGUGGGCAGAUUUCCCCAUCCAGGGCAAUCCCAAUCUUGGGCAGGAGUGGCCCAGAUUCUCCUGCCUCUCCCCAGCGAGAGGGCUUUCUGCAGUCCAUUGCACCCGGACAAGUCAGGCAGGUACUCAGGCAAUAAUCAGGCAUGCAGAUGCGCUGGAGCAGCAACUCUGGUCAGAGGCUCAGGGCCCUUUACAUCCAGGAGCAUCUUCUCAGGGUGUUCCAAGGGGACCCAGCAGCUUUGGGGACAAAGACUCCUUGCUGGAGGCUCCACUGGCAGAUUCAGGAACAAGGAGAGGGUGAGAUCAGAUUUGUCCUUGAGGGCUCUGACUUAUGCUGGGCUCAGGAGCACCAGCUAAUGCUGUUCAGUUAGGUCUCAGGCCACCACCAUGCUUCCAGGAUACCUCAGGGUGCUUCUGGGUUCCCUGUUUGGGGCCCAUUUGCCUGUCUUCAGGGGUCUGGGCAUCCUUGAGGCCUGUGAGUAGAAAGAGAGCUCAGUGGCUGCAGGUUUGGGACAGCCCUGAGCCUUAGGAGGAUUGGGCCAGAGUGGGCAUAGGACUUGCAUCCACCCCUUCUGAGCAGCUCACAUCUCAGAGGUUGGUUAUUUGCUUGCUUGCUCUCACAUUUAUUCCCUGCCCAGCUCAGCUCUGUACUUCAGGGAACUACAUUGCCCAGGAUCCUUUGUUCUCUGGUUUUCUGGUGGGUUUGUCCAAUGGGAGGCACUGGCAGGGGGAAGGAGGGGAGAACCCAAGGUAUUUCUCCCUCUCUCUGCUUCAGGCAGCAUCUCUGCCUUGGCUGGUCUUCUCCAUGGUUCCCACUUCCACUGGAUGGUCCUUCCCUCUUGGUCUUAGGUCCCGUUGGACAGGCCUGGCUAUACUUCCAGUUUCUGUAAGAUAGCUUCAGAUACUGGGCCCUAAUAACGCUGCCUCUUCCCUGCGUUCCUCCAACCUAAAGACUAGAGUGUCUUUUUGCUGUUGUUAAUCCCUGUGGUGAUUCUAGGAUCUUCUUUCACCUGUGUAACUUCCUCCCUAAGUCCCUCUGUUCACAAGGCAUGGAGUGGUUCUCUCUCUGACUGGACAGUGACUUUUGUGCAGCUCAGCAGCUAGGGAUACAGGGAGGGAGUGGGUAGUAGAGCUGGGGGGCUCCUAGGUACCUCUGCCCCUCAGGCUGCCGAGCCCUCAGAGAAGAUUGGGACCAUCACCAGGUCUGCUGUACCUUCCCUGGGUCAGGGAACAGUCCGACCCUCCCCACCCAGAUCUCUUGGAAGUGUCUUCAGCUAUAGACAGCAGCUGAGUGGGUCACGCUCCAGGGUCAGUGGCUGUGAGAAUCUGCCGAGCAGCCCUUGUUUGGGCCAACUGAAGCUGUUCUGCAGGGCCCAGAGAAGGACACAGAGGAGACCCAAGGGCCACUGUGUGACAGCAGAGCCAGGCUGUGGGCAGGAGGAGAGGGUCGCCUCCUUCCAGCCACAGUGCCUCGAGUCUGGCCCUGGCUCAGGAGGGACGGUGAGCCCCCGGUCAGUGAGACGGGAAGUGGAGAUGAGGCUUCUGGCCAGGAAAAAGCCUGCUUGUCUUGAUUCUGGGGUCUCAGUGAUUCCAGGCACAUCAGCAGAGCCUUUGGUCUGGGGAAAGGCUAGUGCACUACUAGCAAUCACCACAGCUUCUGUUCACUUCUCACAGGGCUUUUUGAGGGUUACGUGAGGAAAUCCACUUUACGUGAUUAAUCCAGUGCUGGCACAUAGGAAGCUCUCAAGACCUGCGAACUAAAGAAAAACAAACAAGAAAACACAAAUCGCAACAGCAACCAGGCACUGUGGACCUUAUUCUGUAGGAUAAGAGGGUGUCUAGUUAGUACUGAGCCCCAGGCCUCUCCCCUGGAGCAGAGCUGGGGCUGGCAACACAGUUCCAGCUGCCAAGGCUAGGAAGAAGGCCGAGUCAGGUGAAGGAGUUGUGAGGUUGGGAGGUCACAGUGAUCUCAGGGCACACUCCCCAGAGACGUGGGGAUGAGCAGUAGGUGUCCAGAACCAUAAUGGGGCACUUGAGGACAGCUAUCACCUUGUGUCCAGGCAGGACAGAGAUCAAGGCUAGGUCAGAAAGCAGGCAGUAGGAUCCCAGUCUUUGGGUUGAGGUUCAAGUACUAGGCCCUGGGGACUUAAAGAUCAGGUCCACUAAAAAUACAAAGAUCCUGGCAAGAGGCAGGAUGGAGAGCUAGACACAGGGACUUCAUUUUGAGCCCCGGGGACCAGAGCUGCUGGAAAUCCUCCCAUCUGAUGACAGGAUUGAACCCAGGGAGCAAGAUGCAUUGGACGUGGUAGAGGGUCUGGGAUGAAGAGGCUGUGGUAAUCAGGAGCCCAGACUUCACAUUGCAAAACGUCCAAAUUCAAAUCCUGACUCCACACUCACCAGCUGUGUGACCUCGUUGAACAAGUUACUUCAUGUCUCUAAAACCUCACUUUCCUCUUUGUGGGUAAACCAGGAAAUAGUCGUACCUCAGAGGGCCGUUGGAAUGUGGAAAUGGGAUCACGCGUGGAGGUUUUGGCAGUCUAGGGCAUAUGAGUGCUGCUUAAAUGAUUGAUCCUCGAAGACACAGCUAUUUUUGCUGGCUCCCACCUCCUCCAAUGUACUCCUCCUAAGCCAGCAGUGACCCCAGCCCGAGUCUUCUCUGGGCUAACACUCCUUGUCCUUUCAACCUUUGCUCUAACGUCUGUGUUCCUGACCCUUCACCACCUCAGGCUCUGAAAAAAUAGCCCCUCACUGCCUGAGCUCUUUCCAAACUGAAAGCAAGUGGACGUCUUAAGAGGCCGAAGGUUGUUCCCCUGGGAAUGUAAUGUGACCACGUCCUCGGAUACUCCCUGGUGAUUAGAGCUCGCCAUCUUGAAUUACUUCAUCUUCAUCCUCCCAAGAAGCUUCUUCACAGCCCCAGGCCAAGCAGUGGAAGACAGCCUUGCUGAUAUGCCUUUGUUUCUGCAACAUUAACUUCAUUCAAACCAAUGAGCAGCCCUGAGAUGUGCAUUGUGGAGGUUAUUUGCCUGAGGAGGGUUGUGGGGCUCAGAGAGCUCCAGCACCUUGCUCAAGAUCACACAGCAAGUUAAUGGCCAAGCUGGAAGCAAGGAUCAAGGCUCCGAACUUCCAGUGCACUGUUGACAUCUUCUGCCAGAAUCAAGGCCGCCAUUUUAUUCAGGGAAUUCUUUACGGUCAGUCCAUGUAGUUUGGAUUCCAGAUUGAACAUAUGAUUCAUGCCUGGCCACUCAGAACAUUCCAUUUCCCUGGUCACGGUGAUUGGUUCAGAGAUGGGCAUAUGACCCAGGUCAAGCUAAUGAAUGUCAGCCUCAGGAUUUUUGCUGGAGCUAUGGCAGAAGAGGGGCUGUCUCUCUGCUGGGGUUGCUACAUGCUGAGCUACAUUUGGAGCUGCUGGUUGACUUUUCGCCAUGACAAAAAACAAGCCUGCCUGACAACAAAGCUAAGACAGAAGGAAGUA